Long non-coding RNA from Dreissena polymorpha, 727 nucleotides. RefSeq lists it as uncharacterized. The record is from RefSeq and is a predicted model, not a curated record. Lineage: Eukaryota; Metazoa; Mollusca; Bivalvia; Myida; Dreissenidae. The transcript is spliced from 2 exons.
CACUACUUCCACUGUGGUUGCAUGAAAAUUAGAUGCUGCAUAAAACUGUAUGAAUGCUUUUCAUUGAUUGAUUUUAUUAACAAAAUUGUGCUUACUACAAUAGAACUACGGAUCCUCCUGGUUGGUCACACUGGCCAUGGCAAGAGUGCAACUGGGAAUUCACUCCUAGGCAAAGAUGUUCUUAAGCAUGCACGUUCACAUGCAUCAGUGACCAAAACAUGUCAUAGAGAGGUGAGCAUACGAUUUGCAACAAAACUGGAUAUUAUUGACACACCUGGCUUUUUCGAUACUAGCCAUGAUGAUACCUUUGUCCAUGACGAAUUAUCAAAAUGUGUCGCUCUGACAAUUCCGGGCUUUAAUGCCAUUUUCUUUAUUCUUCGACCUGAACGAUUUUCAGAGGAGAUAGUCAACACUGUUGAUAUUUUUUUCAAUUUCUUUGGGGAAACCGUUGAUGACUACGCAUUUCUUGUAUUAACUUUUACGAAAAACAAGGAAGAGAAAGAGCAAUAUUUAGCAGCUGAAAAUGAACAGCAUGCAAAGUUAGUUGAACUUGUAAAGCGUUGUAAAAACAAGGUUUUGUUCAUUGACAAUGAUGCAAAACCCAAAAUCACUCAAGACCAAUUAGUUCAACAGAUAAUUAAAGAAGUAAAGGAAGCCAAUGGAAAACUGAAGCAACCAUAUUUUAGCAAUGAAGUCACAAAGAAAGUUGAAGAGCAUGCAAUCAGUU